UGUCCCAUACAAGAAUAUAUAUGGUUUAGGGGUGGGGAUGUUGACCGUUUACAAGUUUUCAAACAAGAAGGGGUGGUUUGACCGCCUCCGGACUUCCCUUUUAUUUCAUUUCAUUUGUUUUAUUGUCCCCUACAAGAAUCCCCGUUCAAAUAUUGAUUCUAAUGAAAAGUAAAGUCGGUAAGAGGUACGUCAUGUUUCCAUGCGUAAGUCAUAAAUUGUCUGCUGAAAAAUUAGAACGAAUUUUGUAUUUGUAAUUUAAAAUGACGACUUUGAGAGGAGAUGUUCACAUUAGUGAUAUACUGUGUGUACGGCAAGCUACACCAAAUAUCCAAAUAUGUGAUACCGGCCUGA
RNAcentral lists this long non-coding RNA (351 nucleotides) under Mytilus galloprovincialis (Mediterranean mussel). The record is from RNAcentral. Lineage: Eukaryota; Metazoa; Mollusca; Bivalvia; Mytilida; Mytilidae.